This 101-nucleotide non-coding RNA is filed under the name Pseudoprimorskyibacter insulae. RNAcentral describes it as "TPP riboswitch aptamer (THI element)". It matches the Rfam family "TPP riboswitch aptamer (THI element)". From Rfam's summary of the family: Vitamin B(1) in its active form thiamin pyrophosphate (TPP) is an essential coenzyme that is synthesised by coupling of pyrimidine and thiazole moieties in bacteria. The previously detected thiamin-regulatory element, thi box was extended, resulting in a new, highly conserved RNA secondary structure, the THI element, which is widely distributed in eubacteria and also occurs in some archaea. The record is from Rfam by way of RNAcentral. Lineage: Bacteria; Pseudomonadati; Pseudomonadota; Alphaproteobacteria; Rhodobacterales; Paracoccaceae.
CGCCGCACCUCGGGGUGCCCGUAACUGGGCUGAGAUGCGCAAGCGAACCCGUUGAACCUGAACCGGUUAACACCGGCGGAGGGAAGGUUGAGACAACGCGC